GCGUGAAGGAUGAAUGCCUUCGGGUUGUAAACUCUUUUUACAGGAACAUAAACUGAGCGUACUGUAAGAAUAAGCACCUGCUAACUACGUGCCAGAGGCAUCGGUGAUACGUAGGGUGCGAGCAUUGUCCGGAAUUACUGGGCGUAAAGAGAUGCGUAGGCUUUUUGAUAAGUCUUUCGUUAAAUACCAUGGCUUAACUGUGGAAAAGCGAGGGAAACUAUCAGAAUAGAGAUCGGUAGAGGUAGAUGGAAUUCCUGGUGGAGCAGUGAAAUGCGUUGAUAUCAGGAAGAACACCAAGGGCGAAGGCAGUCUACUGGACCGGUUCUGACGCUGAGGCUCGAAAGCGUGGGUAGCAAAACGGAUUAGAUACCCGUGUAGUCCACGCCGUAAACGAUGGAUAUUAGAUGUUUGGUCCAAUGUUUGACUUCGGUUAGAUAUUGGGUUGAGUGUCACAGUUAACGCAGUAAAUAUCCCGCCUGGGGAGUACGACCGCAAGGUUA
RNAcentral lists this ribosomal RNA (500 nucleotides) under uncultured bacterium. RNAcentral describes it as "bacterial SSU rRNA". It matches the Rfam family "Bacterial small subunit ribosomal RNA", at positions 399 to 896 of the family's 1533-position model. The record is from RNAcentral.